UCAAAAACAGAAACUUUCCAUGAUGCCCUGUCUUUGGCACAGAUGGCAUUGUUGCUCCGCCUGCUGUCAUUCCAUCAAGUCUACUUGGUAAUUGUAGGCUGUCCAUGUUGAAAGAAUGAAAAUGACAUAAAAACCCUUGGUUUUAGAGGAUUCUUCAGUUGCCUGCGUACUCGAUCCCAUUUUGACCAGAGAAUCCUCCUGCUGAAUUGACAAGAGACAACUUCAUCACACAGAACUUAAAGAGUUUGGUAACAAAGCACUACCACUCCAAAAAUGGCACUAAUUGAGGAGGCAAUUGAACUCACUGAAGAAUUCUUUGGAGAUGCUGAAGAGGAAGCUGAAGGACUGUCAGAAGACGUACAAGAGGAAAUGAAAGCUGAAGUGGCUGAAGCCAGCAGUGAGGUUGCAGAGUUCUCCAAAGUUGCUGAUGCUUUGAAAUCCUUUCUUGAGUUUGCCGCAACAAACAUACCAAAGGUAGCAGCAUUUGUCGGAAAAACUAUUGAAAUGGGUGUUAUCUUGUGGGGAGUAAAUGUGCUUCUGACGAAAUUAUUCCCCCAUCCAAGUUCAGACAAGAGUAAGAAACGUACUGCUAUUAAGGCACUCACCACUGUGAUCAAGACUGAGACUGUCUUGGGACAGAAGACCUUGGAGUGGAUGAAGGAGCACAGAGAUGACCACAUUACCCUGGGUGAGAUUGAUGUGCCACUGGAAUCAGUUAUUGCAAAAUAUAUCACACCAAUAUCUGAGGCUGUUGACGAAACCUUCAAGAUCGCAAAAAACCUGCAGUACAAGUUGGAUGGAAAAGUUCAGUUCAAAAUCCCAACUGGAGAAGACAUGAGAGAAAUCCUUACAACUGGUGAUGCAUUUCUCAAAGGAUUCAAUGACCUGGUUGUCUUCAUCUCUGAAAAUGUGCAGAAGAUUGAACAGCUGGCAACCUUUCCAGUGAAACAGGCAGACAUCGACCUUCUUACAACUCAGCUGAAAGAUGCCAAGGACUUACCUUUGUGGUAAAGAGAUGAGAUACUUGAAUUUGUGCUUCAGAAAGGUUGGUUUUCUCCAUAUGAUUAUAAGUCUAGCAAUGACUGCAGUAGUUGAUCUCUGGUUUCUAAUUGGUAAAAAAAUGUAGUGUCAAUCUUUAAGGUCAGGAAAGUUUUCAAUGUUGCAGACCUGUGUUUAAAGUAGAUAUAUAGUGAUUAACUCUUGCAGUCAUCUUAUUCUCCAACCAUUUUUUCCCUCUUCAUUCAUAAUUUACAUUUCACACACUAAUAUCUAAAUCUGUAAAAUAAAUUACAUGCAGCUACCUACUCUAAACUCUUUUACUAACAGCAUUCAGUGUAAGAAAGUGCUUUUUUCUUUUUUAAAAUCCCCGAAAAUGAUGGAGCUGUAGGAGAUAUUGGUUAAUUACAGUUAAUGAGGUGUUGGGUUAUACUGCUGUCUGGAGUUAUGGAUUUGAGGAGGCAGAGCUAUGUUAUGAUAUAAUAUCACAAUGUGUAUAAACACUGCAGCAUGUGUUAACCGAUACCAUGUUAAUCAGUUUUACAGUAAUGUGUGAAUCGUUGUUUUUGCUUUAUAUUAUCAAAUAAACACU
Amphiprion ocellaris (clown anemonefish) is the source of this 1588-nucleotide long non-coding RNA. Lineage: Eukaryota; Metazoa; Chordata; Actinopteri; Pomacentridae. The record is from Ensembl.